RNAcentral lists this ribosomal RNA (482 nucleotides) under uncultured bacterium. RNAcentral's name for it is "bacterial SSU rRNA". It matches the Rfam family "Bacterial small subunit ribosomal RNA", at positions 29 to 506 of the family's 1533-position model. The record is from RNAcentral.
AUGAACGCUAGCGGCAGGCUUAAUACAUGCAAGUCGAGGGGCAGCGGGAGUAGCAAUACUUGCCGGCGACCGGCGCACGGGUGCGUAACACGUAUAUAAUCUACCUGAAACUGGAGGAUAGCCCGAAGAAAUUCGGAUUAAUACUCCAUAACAUUGCGAGAUGGCAUCAUUUUGCAAUUAAAGCUCCGGCGGUUUCGGAUGAGUAUGCGUUCGAUUAGCUAGUUGGUGAGGUAACGGCUCACCAAGGCGACGAUCGAUAGGGGUACUGAGAGGUUACACCCCCACACUGGUACUGAGACACGGACCAGAAUCCUACGGGAGGCAGCAGUAAGGAAUAUUGGACAAUGGUCGCAAGACUGAUCCAGCCAUGCCGCGUGCAGGAUGACUGCCCUAUGGGUUGUAAACUGCUUUUGUACUGGAAUAAACCCCUCUACGUGUAGAGGGCUGAAUGUACCGUAAGAAUAAGGAUUGGCUAACUUCGU